Potamilus streckersoni is the source of this 77-nucleotide non-coding RNA. The record is from the annotation of a GenBank genome assembly. Lineage: Eukaryota; Metazoa; Mollusca; Bivalvia; Unionida; Unionidae.
GACCACUCUGGUGGCCUAGUGGUUAGAGUAUCUGCCUCGGAUGCAGGAGGUUGUGGGUUCAAUCCCUGGCUGAGUCA